CCCUAAACAUUUAUAGUUCCCUACAACCUCUAUUCGCCUGGAAACUACGAGCGCGAGCUUAAAACCCAAAGGACUUGGCGGUGCUUUACAUCCUUCUAGAGGGACACGUCCUAGAACCGACAACCCCCGUUCAACCUCACCUUUCCUUGUUUUUCCCGCCUAUAUACCACCGUCGUAAGCUGACCCUGUGAAGGAAUCAUAGUAAGCUCAACUGGCACAGCCCAGAACGUCAGGUCGAGGUGUAGUGUAUGGAAAGGGAAGAAACGCGUCCCAUUUUCUAUUAAAGAACCCCCCGAUAAUGUGCUGAAACGCAUGUUUUAUGAAGUAGAAUUUAGCAGUAAGCAGGAAGCAGAGCGUCCUGCUGAAAUUGGCUC
This 374-nucleotide ribosomal RNA is filed under the name Bovichtus variegatus (thornfish). Its description in RNAcentral is "partial 12S ribosomal RNA". It matches the Rfam family "Bacterial small subunit ribosomal RNA", at positions 800 to 1374 of the family's 1533-position model. The record is from RNAcentral. Lineage: Eukaryota; Metazoa; Chordata; Actinopteri; Perciformes; Bovichtidae.